Mercenaria mercenaria is the source of this 610-nucleotide long non-coding RNA. RefSeq lists it as uncharacterized. NCBI's taxonomy places the organism in Eukaryota, Metazoa, Mollusca, Bivalvia, Venerida, Veneridae. The record is from RefSeq and is a predicted model, not a curated record. The transcript is spliced from 2 exons.
UUGACGUAGGAAGACUAAAGGUUUCUACAUCUACAUACAUUGUUACAUCAUAGUGUCAGACUUGACAAUUCUAUGACGGUGCACAAGAAUAAGAAAAUGUGUAGAGAAACUGACAGAAAAAAGUACAUCUUAUGUGUUCCAGUUCAGCCUACACCUUCCUUGCCUUCAGUCAUUACAGCUUCACAUAGAAUAUUGGCAGUUUUCACAUGUUGAUGUAUGAACAUGACAGUGUUUGUUUUCCAGAACUGUGAAAUGUAUAUGUGUCAUAUAUAAACGAUCAACGUAGUUACUGAUUCUGUAUGUCUGAUUUUGUAUACCUGAUCUCCGUUGAAUUCUGAUCCCAGGUUCGGCGGUUAGGUCAGCCUCCACCAGUAUAUCUUAACGUUGUGUAAUAAGAAGUUUGUUUGUUUCAAGUAUACUGUAUUAGGCCUCUGUUCACAGGGCCUCCACAUCUGCAUUUUAAACAUAUACUUUAUAUCAUAUGUAUUUGUAUAUUGACAUUUAUGUGAAGCUGUGACCAAUUUCUGCCAACCAUUAAUUUAAACGAAAUUAGAUAUUAAUUGCUUGCUUUAGUAAAAUUGUUAAUAGUAAAAGUAAUGUAUUCAUAUAA